RNAcentral lists this ribosomal RNA (529 nucleotides) under uncultured bacterium. RNAcentral's name for it is "partial 16S ribosomal RNA". It matches the Rfam family "Bacterial small subunit ribosomal RNA", at positions 355 to 899 of the family's 1533-position model. The record is from RNAcentral.
UGGGGAAUAUUGCACAAUGGGCGAAAGCCUGAUGCAGCAACGCCGCGUGAGUGAUGAAGGCCUUCGGGUUGUAAAGCUCUGUCUUUUGGGACGAUAAUGACGGUACCAAAGGAGGAAGCCACGGCUAACUACGUGCCAGCAGCCGCGGUAAUACGUAGGUGGCGAGCGUUGUCCGGAUUUACUGGGCGUAAAGGAUGCGUAGGCGGAUUUUUAAGUGAGAUGUGAAAUACCCGGGCUUAACUUGGGUGCUGCAUUUCAAACUGGGAAUCUAGAGUGCGGGAGAGGAGAAUGGAAUUCCUAGUGUAGCGGUGAAAUGCGUAGAGAUUAGGAAGAACACCAGUGGCGAAGGCGAUUCUCUGGACCGUAACUGACGCUGAGGCAUGAAAGCGUGGGUAGCAAACAGGAUUAGAUACCCUGGUAGUCCACGCCGUAAACGAUGAGUACUAGGUGUAGGAGGUAUCGACCCCUUCUGUGCCGCAGUUAACACAAUCAAGUACUCCGCCUGGGAAGUACGAUCGCAAGAUUAAAA